Molecule: ribosomal RNA, 301 nt
Filed under: uncultured bacterium
Lineage: Bacteria
Description: partial 16S ribosomal RNA
Rfam family: Bacterial small subunit ribosomal RNA
Source: RNAcentral
CAGUAGCCGCGGUAAUACGUAGGGUGCAAGCGUUAAUCGGAAUUACUGGGCGUAAAGCGUGCGCAGGCGGUUAUAUAAGACAGAUGUGAAAUCCCCGGGCUCAACCUGGGAACUGCAUUUGUGACUGUAUAGCUAGAGUACGGCAGAGGGGGAUGGAAUUCCGCGUGUAGCAGUGAAAUGCGUAGAUAUGAGGAGGAACACCGAUGGCGAAGGCAAUCCCCUGGGCCUGUACUGACGCUCAUGCACGAAAGCGUGGGGAGCAAACAGGAUUAGAUACCCCCGUAGUCCCUGUCUCUUAUAC